AGUGAACGCUGGCGGUAGGCCUAACACAUGCAAGUCGAACGGCAGCACAGUAAGAGCUUGCUCUUACGGGUGGCGAGUGGCGGACGGGUGAGGAAUACAUCGGAAUCUACUUUUUCGUGGGGGAUAACGUAGGGAAACUUACGCUAAUACCGCAUACGACCUACGGGUGAAAGCAGGGGAUCUUCGGACCUUGCGCGAUUGAAUGAGCCGAUGUCGGAUUAGCUAGUUGGCGGGGUAAAGGCCCACCAAGGCGACGAUCCGUAGCUGGUCUGAGAGGAUGAUCAGCCACACUGGAACUGAGACACGGUCCAGACUCCUACGGGAGGCAGCAGUGGGGAAUAUUGGACAAUGGGCGCAAGCCUGAUCCAGCCAUACCGCGUGGGUGAAGAAGGCCUUCGGGUUGUAGAGCCCUUUUGUUGGGAAAGAAAAGCAGCAGGUUAAUACCCCGCUGUUCUGACGGUACGCAAAGAAUAAGCACCGGCUAACUUCGUG
RNAcentral lists this ribosomal RNA (492 nucleotides) under uncultured bacterium. RNAcentral describes it as "partial 16S ribosomal RNA". It matches the Rfam family "Bacterial small subunit ribosomal RNA", at positions 29 to 507 of the family's 1533-position model. The record is from RNAcentral.